This 402-nucleotide ribosomal RNA is filed under the name uncultured bacterium. RNAcentral describes it as "bacterial SSU rRNA". It matches the Rfam family "Bacterial small subunit ribosomal RNA", at positions 355 to 774 of the family's 1533-position model. The record is from RNAcentral.
UGGGGAAUAUUGGACAAUGGGCGCAAGCCUGAUCCAGCAAUGCCGCGUGGGUGAAGAAGGUCUUCGGAUCGUAAAGCCCUUUCGACAGGGACGAUGAUGACGGUACCUGUAGAAGAAGCCCCGGCUAACUUCGUGCCAGCAGCCGCGGUAAUACGAAGGGGGCUAGUGUUGCUCGGAAUUACUGGGCGUAAAGGGCGCGUAGGCGGCUUGGCCAGUCAGGCGUGAAAUUCCUGGGCUUAACCUGGGGACUGCGCUUGAUACUGCCAGGCUCGAGGCCGAGAGAGGGUGGUGGAAUUCCCAGUGUAGAGGUGAAAUUCGUAGAUAUUGGGAAGAACACCGGUGGCGAAGGCGACCACCUGGCUCGGUACUGACGCUGAGGCGCGACAGCGUGGGGAGCAAACA